UACAGAGGGUGCGAGCGUUAAUCGGAAUUACUGGGCGUAAAGCGUGCGUAGACGGUAGCGUAAGUCAGAUGUGAAAGCCCCGGGCUCAACCUGGGAACCGCAUUUGAGACUGCUCUGCUCGGGUGCGGAAGAGGGAAGCGGAAUUUCCGGUGUAGCGGUGAAAUGCGUAGAUAUCGGAAGGAACACCAGUGGCGAAAGCGGCUUCCUGGUCCGACACCGACGUUCAGGCACGAAAGCGUGGGGAGCAAACAGG
This 253-nucleotide ribosomal RNA is filed under the name uncultured bacterium. RNAcentral describes it as "partial 16S ribosomal RNA". It matches the Rfam family "Bacterial small subunit ribosomal RNA", at positions 524 to 776 of the family's 1533-position model. The record is from RNAcentral.